AUUCUUUUUGGAGUUUUUGUGCACAACUACUUGCCAAUGCUCAAGCAGCAGCAGCAGUUAAUGCGAAUAACAAGGUUUUCUUAUAUUAUUUGUUGAAUCUCUUUCUUUGAUUAAUUGAUUUAAUUUAGUUUAUGUUAUCCAUUGGUAGGUUAGUAAUGAUGAUUGUUAUCUGAUUUUUGUAUUGUUUUGAAAUUGUAGAAACAAGCUUGUGCCAAUGAAGAUUGGAUCCUCUCCUUCACUAUCCUCUCCACUUUAGGGACUUGGUUUGGAGAACUUUGCUACUCUUCUUUCUUUAUUCAUAGCUUUUCUUAAAACUAUUUUCUUCAACCUUGUUAACCUUUCUGUCUUAAGUGGAGAUGUUCAAUUCUUUUCGUUUCAUUAUUUCUUUUAUCGAUCCCGAGAGCAUAUAUUUUAUUGAUUAGUUAUUUUCUCUUUGGUUCUGC
This 443-nucleotide long non-coding RNA is filed under the name Trifolium pratense (red clover). RNAcentral's name for it is "long non-coding RNA (TPRA_LNC005630)". The record is from RNAcentral. Lineage: Eukaryota; Viridiplantae; Streptophyta; Magnoliopsida; Fabales; Fabaceae.